CGGGCGGCCAGGCUUCUGCUGGGUCCUAAUGCCAAAAUCUCUUACUGGAGCCUCAGCGCCGUCUAGCUGCUGCCCAGCGUCAGCGACUUUACCUGCUCAUUACCUAGGCACAUCACUAGGCUUCCAAGGGGGAGAGCGGCACAGCUGGUGUUUGUAUGCUGCUGUUUGUGUAGCCAUAGCCUGUGAGGACCCAGAGAGCAGGACUCCCAGUUCCCCUCGCCCAGGCCAAGUGAGGCACGGACUGUGGUUGCACUCAGGGUGCAGCCGCCACUCACCCUCAGCAGCUCCUCUUCUCCCUGCUCCUUCACAAACACCUCCUCCAGCUCUUGGUUGAGCCCUUCCAGGCUCCUGUGCAGGCAGGGGCUGAGUCGCAAGACAGGGGACCCUGAGGGGAAGCUGGGAGGGGACGCCUGAGGAAGAGGCAAAUGACAAAAUCACACACAGCCCCACCAGGCCUAGACAGUCAUUCAUUCUGACCAGUGGUAAUGGUCAUGUCCACACAGCAGAACUGAGUGAAUGAAGGGUGAUUUGGGGACAGUUACAGAUUGCAAUAGGUCCACUCAGGGCAGUUUUCUC
Molecule: non-coding RNA, 576 nt
Filed under: Pongo abelii (Sumatran orangutan)
Lineage: Eukaryota; Metazoa; Chordata; Mammalia; Primates; Hominidae
Source: RNAcentral